CAGCCGCCGCGGGAAUACGUAGGGUGCAAGCGUUAAUCGGAAUUACUGGGCGUAAAGCGUGCGCAGGCGGUCCGCUAAGACAGAUGUGAAAUCCCCGGGCUUAACCUGGGAACUGCAUUUGUGACUGGCGGGCUAGAGUAUGGCAGAGGGGGGUAGAAUUCCACGUGUAGCAGUGAAAUGCGUAGAGAUGUGGAGGAAUACCGAUGGCGAAGGCAGCCCCCUGGGCCAAUACUGACGCUCAUGCACGAAAGCGUGGGGAGCAAACAGGAUUAGAUACCCCUGUAGUCCCUGUCUCUUAUAC
RNAcentral lists this ribosomal RNA (301 nucleotides) under uncultured bacterium. Its description in RNAcentral is "partial 16S ribosomal RNA". It matches the Rfam family "Bacterial small subunit ribosomal RNA", at positions 509 to 807 of the family's 1533-position model. The record is from RNAcentral.